ACAUUCUCAAACACUCCACCAUUCCAUAAUCCCAACAAAACCAUCAAAAUUUACCACCUCCUACUUUCUCUCUCUAAUUUUCGGUUAGAGCAAACCCACCACCAUCUUCACAUUUUCAAAAUUUAAACACUAGAGAUUCUUGCAAAUAUGGAGGUUCAUGGAUAUAUCAAAAACACUUGUGAGACUAGAAAAGCUAUUUGGAGCAUUUUUGGUGGAACUAGAAGCCUUAGAUCAUCAAGAUUUUCCUUAUCUUCAUCCUUAAUUCCUAGCAAAAAUUGUCGAGAAACGAACCGCGAACAAGGAAUCGAAUAGAGAUUUGCACGGAACGCAAAUCUGAGAUUAGUGGACGGCUUUGGAAAAAUAUGUUCAAGUGGUUAUCAAGAACGCAAGCUUUUGUGAUGUCAUCCGUUUUCGAUUGUUAUGUUUUGAACUUUGACUAAUGUAGUUAA
This is a long non-coding RNA of Helianthus annuus (common sunflower), 449 nucleotides long. RefSeq lists it as uncharacterized. The transcript is spliced from 3 exons. NCBI's taxonomy places the organism in Eukaryota, Viridiplantae, Streptophyta, Magnoliopsida, Asterales, Asteraceae. The record is from RefSeq and is a predicted model, not a curated record.